GACACUAUGGCCCAAUGGAUAAGGCAGCGGAAGAAGGUUGUAGAAGGUUAAUUCGAAUUCUCUUCCUUUGCUAAUGUAGGUUCGAGUCCUACUGGUGUCC
Molecule: non-coding RNA, 100 nt
Organism: Coprinopsis sp. MPI-PUGE-AT-0042
Lineage: Eukaryota; Fungi; Basidiomycota; Agaricomycetes; Agaricales; Psathyrellaceae
Source: the annotation of a GenBank genome assembly